Molecule: non-coding RNA, 98 nt
Organism: Terfezia boudieri ATCC MYA-4762
Lineage: Eukaryota; Fungi; Ascomycota; Pezizomycetes; Pezizales; Pezizaceae
Source: the annotation of a GenBank genome assembly
UCCGUCGUGGUGUAGUGGCUAGCAUUUGAGACUCUCAUUGACUACUCAGUGAGUAUUUGAGGACUCUCAGAACCCGGGUUCAAUUCCCGGCGACGGAA